UGGGGAAUAUUGCACAAUGGGCGAAAGCCUGAUGCAGCAACGCCGCGUGAGUGAUGAAGGUCUUCGGAUUGUAAAGCUCUGUCUUUUGGGACGAUAAUGACGGUACCAAAGGAGGAAGCCACGGCUAACUACGUGCCAGCAGCCGCGGUAAUACGUAGGUGGCGAGCGUUGUCCGGAUUUACUGGGCGUAAAGGGUGCGUAGGCGGAUGUUUAAGUGAGAUGUGAAAUACCCGGGCUUAACUUGGGUGCUGCAUUUCAAACUGGAUAUCUAGAGUGCAGGAGAGGAGAAUGGAAUUCCUAGUGUAGCGGUGAAAUGCGUAGAGAUUAGGAAGAACACCAGUGGCGAAGGCGAUCUCUCG
This 359-nucleotide ribosomal RNA is filed under the name uncultured bacterium. RNAcentral describes it as "partial 16S ribosomal RNA". It matches the Rfam family "Bacterial small subunit ribosomal RNA", at positions 355 to 732 of the family's 1533-position model. The record is from RNAcentral.